UCAUGACCUGAGCCGAAGGCAGAGGCUUUAACCCACUGAGCCACCCAGGCGCCCCGGGUUCUGUAUUUUCUUAAAUACCUAGCUGCUUCUCUGCACUUUGGGGGGCAGAGCCCAACCACUUACUGUCAUCUUCAAGGUCAAGAGCUUCAGCUAGCCCAUUACUGUGUCAUGUUAUUCUCGGUGAUGGAGAAUCGGGGCAGGGGGGUGGGUGGCUAGACCCUGAGUAGUGAAAAAAAAUUUUUUUAAACCCCAUCUAUUAGUUAUAUCUGCCACUCCCAUGCCAUUUCUUCUUUUUGAUAUUUGCUUGUGCAGUAAAAGAGACUUUGCUUAAAUCCUGCACACUAGAGUGCAUGUACCUCUCUGUAUUUGUGAUGGCCAGAUAGGCCUACCAGCCAAGUAUGUUCCACAAAGGGAGCCCGAGGACAUCCAUAGACCAGAAAAAGGGCACCCUAAGGGAGGGAUACCACCCCUUGAGCAAAGGAGAGACCAAGUCCCAAACUGUAGCUACAGGGAACAUCAGCCAGCCUCUGCUAUCCCACUCCGCCCUUCCCUGUGCUGGAAAAGGGGGCUUAUGAAUGGACUAGCUAGGGGCCAGGGGGCGUCUCUGCAGGAUCCUGGCAGCAUGCCUCUGACUCACCCAGGAGCUCGAGCAUCAUCACUGCUCAGUGUCCACCCUGCUAGCAACAGAGACCAAUGCCCAGCCUCUGAGUCAGCCCACGUCUGGAGACCAGCUAGCCACUUGGUACUACAUCUGUCCCUCCUACGCCAGGAAAGGAUGAGCCUCAAGGUGUAACCCGACAAAGAGACGUUUCAAUGGGAAAAAGAGUUAUGUUUUGUCAAAGAUCAACAAAGCCAGGGUCAAGGUGCGGGAGGUAAAAACAGACCGGGGACUCCCACAGAGUCGGGGACUGAGAAACCGCAAGAAGCAGCUAAGACGGUUGGUCAUUGUCAUUGUCAAAGUCAUGAGGUGCUUUGUGAAGUCAGGCUUCUCCCUCCCUCUGAGACAGGGAGACAGAGGCCCCAGCCUUCCUGAGGACGCCAUUUCAGAGAGACAUUUCAGAGAAGGGACUUAAAACAGUUCAAGGUUUUUCUACAAAGGCUCUAAGAACGGGAGGUCAGAAGCCCGUCUUCUGGGGCUGGCUGGAACAAACAGUCAAUUCUUUCAUCAACCUUUAACUUUGCCAGACUGGCACUCAAGGGGGCUGGGUCAUCCCAGUGGCCUUAGGCUUAGGUCUUGGGCUGCCAGAAGCUGCAGGAGAAUUUGGGCAAAGUCUGUUAGUGCAAGGGAUGUGGACAGAGUCGGCGUGCGGAGAGUUCUUGUAGAUGUCGCUUCACAGCAGAAAAGCCAGCAGACCUCAUGUUAACGGCACAGUUCAAACAUUUCCAGGAACAAGCCUUACUUGG
Long non-coding RNA from Mustela erminea (ermine), 1404 nucleotides. RefSeq lists it as uncharacterized. The transcript has 2 exons. NCBI's taxonomy places the organism in Eukaryota, Metazoa, Chordata, Mammalia, Carnivora, Mustelidae. The record is from RefSeq and is a predicted model, not a curated record.